UGCCAGCCGCCGCGGUAAUACGGAGGGGUGAGAGUUGUUCGGAAUUACUGGGCGUAAAGCGCACGUAGGCGGAUUAGAAAUUUAGAGGUGAAAUCCCGGGGCGUAACUCUGGAACUGCCAUUAAAACUUUUCAACUAGAGUAUGAUAGAGGAAAGCAGAAUUUCUAGUGUAGAGGUGAAAUUCGUAGAUAUUAGAAAGAAUACCAAUUGCGAAGGCAGCUUUCUGGAUCAUUACUGACACUGAGGAGCGAAAGCAUGGGUAGCGAAGAGGAUUAGAUA
RNAcentral lists this ribosomal RNA (278 nucleotides) under uncultured bacterium. Its description in RNAcentral is "partial 16S ribosomal RNA". It matches the Rfam family "Bacterial small subunit ribosomal RNA", at positions 506 to 784 of the family's 1533-position model. The record is from RNAcentral.